AUUGCACGCUGGCGGCAGGCCUAACACAUGCAAGUCGAACGAGUGGCGGACGGGUGAGUAAUGUCGGGGAAACUGCCCGAUGGAGGGGGAUAACUACUGGAAACGGUAGCUAAUACCGCCUACCAUCGGAUGUGCCCAGAUGGGAUUAGCUUGUAGGUGAGGUAACGGCCUACCUAGGCAUCGAUCCCUAGCCGGUCUGAUAGGAUGACCAGCCAAAUUGGAACUGCGACACGGGCCAGAAUCCUACGGGAGGCAGCAGUGGAGAAUAUUGCACAAUGGGCGCAAGCCUGAUGCAGCCAUGCCGCGUGUAUGAAGAAGGCCUUCGGGUUGUAAAGUACUUUCAGCGGGGAGGCGUUACCCGCAGAAGAAGCACCGGCUAACUCCGUGCCAGCAGACGCGGUAAUUC
RNAcentral lists this ribosomal RNA (406 nucleotides) under uncultured bacterium. RNAcentral describes it as "partial 16S ribosomal RNA". It matches the Rfam family "Bacterial small subunit ribosomal RNA", at positions 30 to 526 of the family's 1533-position model. The record is from RNAcentral.